Molecule: unclassified non-coding RNA, 310 nt
Filed under: plant metagenome
Description: partial contains small subunit ribosomal RNA, internal transcribed spacer 1, and 5.8S ribosomal RNA
Source: RNAcentral
UUUCCGUAGGUGAACCUGCGGAAGGAUCAUUAGUGAAUAAACAAGUGCAGGUUGUGCUGGCCUUCUUGGUAUGUGCACGCCUGCCGGCUUCAUUCCAUCUUCCCACCUGUGCACUCUGUGUAGAUUCUGUAUGCUAUUUUCAGGCCUUUAUUGUGCUUGGUUGAGAGGAGUUGCUUGUUUCUCCAACAAGCUCUUCUUGGGCAUGCAGGUCUAUGUUUAUAUCAACACCAUAUGAAUGUUUUAGAAUGUGCUUUAGGCUUUUUGGCCUUUAAAUUAUAUACAACUUUCAACAACGGAUCUCUUGGCUCUC